CAAUGGGCGAAAGCCUGACCCAGCAACGCCGCGUGAGGGAUGAAGUAUUUCGGUAUGUAAACCUCGAAAGAAUGGGAAGAAUAAAUGACGGUACCAUUUAUAAGCUCCGGCUAACUACGUUCCAGCAGCCGCGGUAAUACGUAGGGAGCAAGCGUUGUUCGGAUUUACUGGGCGUAACGGGCGCGUAGGCGGCGCGGUAAGUCACUUGUGAAAUCUCUGAGCUUAACUCAGAACGGCCAAGUGAUACUGCUGUGCUAGAGUGCGGAAGGGGCAACCGGAAUUCUUGGUGUAGCGGUGAAAUGCGUAGAUAUGAAGAGGAACAACUGAGGCGAAGGCGGGUUGCUGGGCCGACACUGACGCUGAUGCGCGAAAGCCAGGGGAGCAAACG
RNAcentral lists this ribosomal RNA (388 nucleotides) under uncultured bacterium. RNAcentral's name for it is "bacterial SSU rRNA". It matches the Rfam family "Bacterial small subunit ribosomal RNA", at positions 369 to 774 of the family's 1533-position model. The record is from RNAcentral.